CCGCCCUGAUUUGAAGCCAGCCCAAAGGGAGGACUUCAUGAAAUUGGGAAGUCCAUGCCAGUCAGCAGGAGACAAGAAACGGGGACUCUCGGUGCCUUCUACCCUCAGCCAGCGUCUUAGGCCGCCGGCAGGUGUGUGGAGGCUCAGGCGCUCCCAGGCAGAAGCGGCCCCGCCCUGAUUUGAAGCCAGCCCAAAGGGAGGACUUCAUGAAAUUGGGAAGUCCAUGCCAGUCAGCAGGAGACAAGAAACGGGGACUCUCGGUGCCUUCUACCCUCAGCCAGCGUCUUAGGCCGCCGGCAGGUGUGUGGAGGCUCAGGCGCUCCCAGGCAGAAGCGGCCCCGCCCUGAUUUGAAGCCAGCCCAAAGGGAGGACUUCAUGAAAUUGGGAAGUCCAUGCCAGUCAGCAGGAGACAAGAAACGGGGACUCUCGGUGCCUUCUACCCUCAGCCAGCGUCUUAGGCCGCCGGCAGGUGUGUGGAGGCUCAGGCGCUCCCAGGCAGAAGCGGCCCCGCCCUGAUUUGAAGCCAGCCCAAAGGGAGGACUUCAUGAAAUUGGGAAGUCCAUGCCAGUCAGCAGGAGACAAGAAACGGGGACUCUCGGUGCCUUCUACCCUCAGCCAGCGUCUUAGGCCGCCGGCAGGUGUGUGGAGGCUCAGGCGCUCCCAGGCUCUGCCACGGCAGAGCUAAAUCUGUUUUGACGUGUUUAAAAUCAGGUGGAGAUGUUCUCGCAAGGGUACCUUCACGGUCAACGGUGCGGAAGCGGCGCACGGGUUUGGCGUCGGCCGUGUGGCUAAAGACGGGCGGAGGCGCGGCUGGACCGGUUGUCCGGAGCUGACGGGACGAGCGCCGGCGGUCUGUGGUGUAUGCCUGGCCUGGGGUGGGCCUGGGACACGACCCUUUGAGCU
Molecule: long non-coding RNA, 903 nt
Organism: Pygocentrus nattereri (red-bellied piranha)
Lineage: Eukaryota; Metazoa; Chordata; Actinopteri; Characiformes; Serrasalmidae
Exons: 5
Source: RefSeq, a predicted model, not a curated record